GCUGGGCCGGUUGCGCGAGCCGGUGCGCCACGAACUUCAGGCGGCCGCGCCCGACGUGCCAUUUGCCAAGGUGCAGACCUUCCGCGAGCACAAGGACGCUUCGCUCGAACUCUGGCUGUUGCAUCACAUCUCCGCCGUCGCGACCGUCUUUGGCGCGGCCGCGGCGCUCGUUGCCGUCGUCGGUCUUUACGGCACGAAAGCGUACGGCGUUUCGCGCCGCACGCGGGAGAUCGGGGUUCGGCUUGCGCUGGGAGCGGAGCCGGCGCAGGUGCGCAACCUGAUUCUCCGCGAAGGUCUCACGGCCGCUGUUCUGGGAAUUGCCCCCGGACUGCUCCUCGGUGCCGUGCUCGGCCGUGUCUUCGGCAGUCUGAUUCCAGAAUUCGACGAGCUCGAUCCGGUCGUCUUCGGCCUCACCGCGCUGGCGGUGUUGAUCGCGGCGCUCGUCGCCUCCUGGCUUCCCGCGCGUCGCGCGACGAAGGUCAAUCCGAUGGUGGCAUUGCGAUCGGAGUGAACGGACGAGCGAUCGAUCCCCAUCGCGGGAGAUCCACCCGGUAGCGUUCGAUCCGUGGGCCGCCGGUGUCGCCGACGGGGUUCGUCGCUACGUCGGAGUAACCGGGCUGGUCAGCGUGCCACUUUGUCGUUCUCCGCGCGGCGGAAAUCACGGCAGGACCCCGACGUUUCACGGCCUGGCGAUCCGGGAACUUCAGCGCGGCCGAUCGCGCGCAGCGCGCCGUGCGCGAUCGCGAGAAAUGGCAUGUGGAUCGAUGCGAGGAGAUGUUCCAGCUCGUGCGAUCGCCAGUCCCGGUGGGGAAACGGAUUGAACCAUAAAGGCACGACGACA
RNAcentral lists this unclassified non-coding RNA (841 nucleotides) under uncultured fungus. Its description in RNAcentral is "sequence contains 18S rRNA gene, ITS1, 5.8S rRNA gene, ITS2, 28S rRNA gene". The record is from RNAcentral. Lineage: Eukaryota; Fungi.